This 393-nucleotide ribosomal RNA is filed under the name uncultured bacterium. Its description in RNAcentral is "partial 16S ribosomal RNA". It matches the Rfam family "Bacterial small subunit ribosomal RNA", at positions 523 to 918 of the family's 1533-position model. The record is from RNAcentral.
AUACGGAGGACGCGAGCGUUAUCCGGAUUCAUUGGGUUUAAAGGGUGCGCAGGCGGCCGUGCAAGUCAGCGGUGAAAGCCCGGGGCUCAACCCCGGAAGUGCCGUUGAUACUGCAUGGCUGGAAUGCGGUCGAGGCGGGCGGAACGUGGCGUGUAGCGGUGAAAUGCGUAGAUAUGCCACAGAAAGCCGAUAGCGGAGGCGGCUCGCCAGGCCUGCAUUGACGAUCGGGCACGAAAGCGGGGGGAUCGAACAGGAUUAGAUACCCGGGUAGUCCACGCCGUAAACGAUGGGCGCUCGUCGUCGGCGGCAGACAGUCGGCGGCCAAGCGAAAGCGAUAAGCGCCCCACCUGGGGAGUACGGUCGCAAGGCUGAAACUCAAAUGAAUUGGCGGGG